AGCUCCAAUAGCGUAUAUUAAAGUUGUUGCAGUUAAAAAGCUCGUAGUUGAAUUUUGGGGGCGCGUGUGCGGUCCGCCUAACGGCGAGCACUGUGCGCGAGCCUCUUACCUUCUGGGGGUCUUGUCUGUCAUUCGUGGUGGGCAAGGGAACCAGGACUUUUACUUUGAGGAAAUUAGAGUGUUCAAAGCAGGCUUUUGCUUGAAUACAUUAGCAUGGAAUAAUGGAAUAGGACCGUAGUCUUAUUUUGUUGGUUUUCGAGACUGUGGUAAUGAUUAAUAGGGACGGUUGGGGGCAUUUGUAUGUACGUGCUAGAGGUGAAAUUCUUGGAUUUCGUACAGACAAUCUGAUGCGAAAGCGUUUGCCAAGGACGUUUUCA
RNAcentral lists this ribosomal RNA (377 nucleotides) under uncultured eukaryote. Its description in RNAcentral is "SSU rRNA". It matches the Rfam family "Eukaryotic small subunit ribosomal RNA", at positions 587 to 972 of the family's 1831-position model. The record is from RNAcentral.